RNAcentral lists this transfer RNA (68 nucleotides) under Marmota monax (woodchuck). RNAcentral's name for it is "tRNA.Ala". The record is from RNAcentral. Lineage: Eukaryota; Metazoa; Chordata; Mammalia; Rodentia; Sciuridae.
GGUUAUAGCUCAGUCGAUACAGUGCUAGCCUGGCAUGCACAAGGCCCUGGGUUCAAUCCCCAGCACCA